This 470-nucleotide ribosomal RNA is filed under the name Moraxella sp. canine oral taxon 017. Its description in RNAcentral is "bacterial SSU rRNA". It matches the Rfam family "Bacterial small subunit ribosomal RNA", at positions 9 to 475 of the family's 1533-position model. Lineage: Bacteria; Pseudomonadati; Pseudomonadota; Gammaproteobacteria; Moraxellales; Moraxellaceae. The record is from RNAcentral.
GAGUUUGAUCAUGGCUCAGAUUGAACGCUGGCGGCAGGCUUAACACAUGCAAGUCGAACGAUGAUUACUAGCUUGCUAGUAUGAUUAGUGGCGAACGGGUGAGUAAUGCUUAGGAAUCUGCCUAUUAGUGGGGGACAACAUUCCGAAAGGAAUGCUAAUACCGCAUACGUCCUACGGGAGAAAGCAGGGGAUCGCAAGACCUUGCGCUAAUAGAUGAGCCUAAGUCGGAUUAGCUAGUUGGUGGGGUAAAGGCCUACCAAGGCGACGAUCUGUAGCUGGUCUGAGAGGAUGAUCAGCCACACUGGGACUGAGACACGGCCCAGACUCCUACGGGAGGCAGCAGUGGGGAAUAUUGGACAAUGGGCGAAAGCCUGAUCCAGCCAUGCCGCGUGUGUGAAGAAGGCCUUUUGGUUGUAAAGCACUUUAAGUGGGGAGGAAAAGCUAAUAAUUAAUACCUAUAGCCCUGACUA